UACGUAGGGGGCAAGCGUUGUCCGGAAUCAUUGGGCGUAAAGCGCGUGUAGGCGGCCCGGUAAGUCCGCUGUGAAAGUCCAGGGCUCAACCCUGGGAUGCCGGUGGAUACUGUCGGGCUCGAGUCCGGAAGAGGCGAGUGGAAUUCCUGGUGUAGCGGUGAAAUGCGUAGAUAUCGGAAGGAACAUCAGUGGCGAAAGCGACUUCCUGGACCAAUACUGACGCUCAUGUGCGAAAGCGUGGGGAGCAAACAGG
Molecule: ribosomal RNA, 253 nt
Filed under: uncultured bacterium
Lineage: Bacteria
Description: partial 16S ribosomal RNA
Rfam family: Bacterial small subunit ribosomal RNA
Source: RNAcentral